Molecule: ribosomal RNA, 253 nt
Filed under: uncultured bacterium
Lineage: Bacteria
Description: partial 16S ribosomal RNA
Rfam family: Bacterial small subunit ribosomal RNA
Source: RNAcentral
UACAGAGGGGGCAAGCGUUGUUCGGAAUUACUGGGCGUAAAGGGCGCGUAGGCGGCCUUCUAAGUCGAACGUGAAAUCCCCGGGCUCAACCUGGGAACUGCGUUUGUGACUGUAUGACUAGAGUACGGUAGAGAGGGGUGGAAUUCCUGGUGUAGCAGUGAAAUGCGUAGAUAUCAGGAGGAACAUCGAUGGCGAAGGCAGCCCCUUGGACCUGUACUGACGCUCAUGCACGAAAGCGUGGGGAGCAAACAGG